Molecule: ribosomal RNA, 1013 nt
Filed under: Hymenolepis diminuta
Lineage: Eukaryota; Metazoa; Platyhelminthes; Cestoda; Cyclophyllidea; Hymenolepididae
Description: partial large subunit ribosomal RNA
Rfam family: Eukaryotic large subunit ribosomal RNA
Source: RNAcentral
UUGGCCCAUAGAGGGUGAGAGGCCCGUACGGGUGGAGGUUCAGACAUGUACGAUGGUUCACCAGGCCGGCCUCAGAGUCGGGUUGUUUGAGAUUGCAGCCCAAAGAGGGUGGUAAACUCCAUCCAAGGCUAAAUAUUGCCACGAGUCCGAUAGCGAACAAGUACCAUGAGGGAAAGUUGAAAAGUACUCUGAAGAGAGAGUAAACAGUACGUGAAGCCGCAUGCAGGUAAACGGGUGGCGUCAAGCUGCGAGCCCGGAGGAUUCAGCUGACUGGGAUGUAGUGUACGCGCGCCUGGGGCGUCGAGAGGCCGGAGUAAGAUGUGGCGGUCCACUCUUCUGUUAAGAGUGGGGCGUGAUCGGUGUGCGCUUGCGUAUGCUGGUUAUCGCUAUGUAUGCCGGGUGGGUGCCGGAGCAUGCCGUUCAUCUGUUGGGCCGCCUAGUCAGUGCAUUUUCUCCGUGGUGAACACCACGACCGGUGGAACUGUCAGUCUGCUGUGAUCAAGUCGUGUUCUCCUGGCGCUUUACUGUGUUGGGUGGGCACGAUCGCAGGCGGAGUCGGUGGACGGCGCAGUGGUGCUUCGGUACUGCCGCGUGUUAUCGUGCACUCUCCGUCGUAAGCGGUUAGUGGGGUUGACUAAGUGCUGUGACUACUUCCCUACUAGCCGGCGGAUCACAGUGGUGAAAGGGACUGUGCAGGGCACCGGAGUUGUCCAUCUCAUUCAAUAUGGUACUCGACACACACGUUGCAGGUGUGAUGAAAUCGAGACACGCCGCUGUCUGCCUGGUGUUAGGCCUGACUGUCGUGUUGCCUGCGCAAAGUGGGUCCGGCAGUGGUUUUGAUGCUUGGUAGUGGUGGUGGCAGUGUGUUGCGUGUCUUGGGUGUCUGUGGUACCGGGGAUGAAAUAGUCAGUGGUGCUGUGGUAGACGAGCUACCCGACCCGUCUUGAAACACGGACCAAGGAGUUUAACAUGUGUGCGAGUCAAAGGGUCCUACGAAACCCCUAGGCGCAGUG